AAGAAGAAGCCUGAAGGAGGAGAGAUUACUAGAAACAAAAUCUGUUUACUAUUUUAUCUGUGGAUUAGCUGUCGGAGAAGAGGAGCUUGUGAAAUUCAGAUAAAAUAACAACCCAAUGUGUAUAUCCCAUGACAAAUUAGCUAACAACAGCAAGAUACCUGGCUAAAUUGGCAUACAUUUUUAAUGCUUUUCGACCUGUCCUCAAAUUAUGUAGUUGGUUCAGAGUUUAGAUUUUUCAACCUGCGUGUCCUGAUCGCGUCUGGUGUGGGUGAACAAAAUCAACACACGCGAGUGGUGUGUUAGCAUGUCCUGGCCUGGUGUUCAUAGUGUACUCCCAGGCAGUGUCCCUGCUCCCCUGCCCUCAGUUCUGGGCUGUGUGUUUCUUCACCAUGAUCAUCCUGUUAGGAUUGGACAGCCAGAGGACUCAAGCCCUAGGACCAUGCCUCAGGACUACCUGGCCUGAUGACUCCUUGCUGUCCCCAGUCCACCUGGUCCUGCUGCUGCUCCAGUUUCAAUUGUUCUGCCUGUGGCUAUGGAACACUAACCUGUUCACCGGACGUGCUACCUUGUCCCAAAACUGCUGUUUUGGACUCUCUCUCUACCGUACCUGCUGUCUCUAACUCUGAAUGAUCGGCUAUGAAAAGCCAACUGACAUUUACUCCUGAGGUGCUGACCUAUAAUCUCCACCCAGCACAGCCAGAAGAGGACUGGCCACCCCUCAGAGCCUGGUUCCUUUCUAGGUUUCUUC
Molecule: long non-coding RNA, 748 nt
Filed under: Salmo salar (Atlantic salmon)
Lineage: Eukaryota; Metazoa; Chordata; Actinopteri; Salmoniformes; Salmonidae
Description: lncRNA (ENSSSAG00000119739.1)
Source: RNAcentral